This 1540-nucleotide long non-coding RNA is filed under the name Equus caballus (horse). RNAcentral's name for it is "lncRNA (ENSECAG00000051824.1)". Lineage: Eukaryota; Metazoa; Chordata; Mammalia; Perissodactyla; Equidae. The record is from RNAcentral.
GAUGGUCUCAUGCACCAUCAAGCACUCGGUGGAGGCAGGAAUUCUCCCAGGGUGCCAUUAUUGCCAAGGGGACUGAUGGCCUGAGACGGGAAAUAGGAGGCUGGAGGACGCAACGUCCCAUAAAACCCAGAUUUCGUGGCCACUGAGAAGAUUAAGCUUGUGCGCGCCUCAUUCUUCAUUUCAAUUGGCCUCGGGACGCCUUUUAAUCCCCAGCACCCCGAAGGACUCUGGAACGCAUCUGCCUUAGGAAAAAGGUCUGGUAACAGACUGCGGCGGGGGAGACCACGCCUGGUCCGAGGGGGUCAGAGCCCCCAGCAAAAAUUGUGGGAAUCCAGGUGUUUGAGGCAGAUCCGGGGGUACCAGGACCUUUGGGCUCCCCUGAAGCCCUUCGCCUGGAGGAUCAGCCCUGCAGGGUGAUGUCAUCAACCGCACUGAGCCCAGGGAGCUAAAAACAGAUGGACCAUUCUCAGAACAGACACCUUUGCCAUCUCCGCCUUGGUGCCAUCAAGACUAUGACAUGCGUCUUAAUGUUAAAAGGAAACACUGUUUAAAUAAAGGACCACCCAGUCCUCAGGGUGACCUUGCCUGGGAAUUCUGACCUGGAGAUGCAGCUGGUUCAGAGGCCACAAAUGCAGGUCCAGCCUAAAGCUGACAUUCAGAUAGUUUAGUUUGGGAUGUCAGGUAUUUAAAUGUUCUUUUGAAUUAACUGCCAACAUUUAAAAACCACAAAGUUUUAUAUAAAAAUCUGUAUUUCCAGCUUCUCUUGAAGAAACAGGAAAAUCUGUCAGUGUGGAGCCUGUCCUCCCACAUGGCAGCAAUCAGCUGUUCCUGGCUGGUGGUGACCCCUUCAAAUGGGGCUCACCCCACUCAGUCCACUGCAGUCCCCACCACUCCCUCUUGUCUCCCAUUCUCACCCAGCCAAUCUGUGUUUGUGACCAGCAACUUCCCACUGGCAAGGUUUGGCCAUCUGUAUGAGACCGAACGAGGAUUACUGACUCUAAAAACAUCUCAUACAGACGAGAAAUUUACAGAUAAUCUAGGUGGAGUCCAUUUCAGAGACCGUGAAACUGGAGCCCGAAGAAGAGAAACAACUUGCCCAGGCUUUCAGAGUCAUCGAUGAGCUGCACUGAAAUGAGAAACCAGGUCUCUGGGGUCCCAUUCCUACUUUCUGGCCCUUCUCAUGGCCUUAAAACACACGCAUGUGCAUGUACACGUGCAUAAACAUGCACACAACCUUCCACCCUUGGCAGCAAUAAGAACAGUGGUGAAAGUUCACUGAUGGCUUGCUACGAACCCAGGAGGCCUCCCCUCGCAACACUGCAAUGUCGGAGACGCUGGUACUGUCCCGUUGAGAUGACAAGGUGAUGGAGGCUGGGCCAGGAAGUGAAGCGUCCCGUCCAAAGCCACACGGCUCAGAGGAGGCUGAGCUGGGCUUUCUGUGGGGGUCUGUCCGCGUACCCACUGCUUAACCACAGCUGCAAAUUCUACCCCAUUAAGCGACAGUUACCAUCUCAGCCUCUAAAAAUUAUGCCAACCCCCG